RNAcentral lists this small nucleolar RNA (123 nucleotides) under Ipomoea nil (Japanese morning glory). RNAcentral's name for it is "Small nucleolar RNA SNORD14". It matches the Rfam family "Small nucleolar RNA SNORD14". Rfam says of the family: U14 small nucleolar RNA (U14 snoRNA) is required for early cleavages of eukaryotic precursor rRNAs. In yeasts, this molecule possess a stem-loop region (known as the Y-domain) which is essential for function. A similar structure, but with a different consensus sequence, is found in plants, but is absent in vertebrates. Lineage: Eukaryota; Viridiplantae; Streptophyta; Magnoliopsida; Solanales; Convolvulaceae. The record is from Rfam by way of RNAcentral.
AGUCAGUGAUGAUAAAUCCAAAGGCUUGUUUCUCAAAACAUUCGCAGUGGCCGCCUAAGAGCUUUGCCUUCGCCAGGCUUGAGAGCUUGUGCUGCUUUUAUCCUUCCUUGGAUGUCUGAGGCU